GGUAAAUGCAGGAAAGAAAGAUGCAGAAAACUAAGGGUAGUCUUUUGUUCGCAGAGGCAAAAGAUCUCUUUUUAGAGUAUUAUUACCCUAUUUAUAGAUAACCCCCUCGGUCAGUUAUUGAUCUUACGCGAUCGGCCACUAUCUCCUCAUAUUCCGGACCACAUCUAGCCGAUCGGAACCGCAUGUAACUGCUUGCGGUUACCAUAAC
RNAcentral lists this long non-coding RNA (208 nucleotides) under Ananas comosus (pineapple). Its description in RNAcentral is "long non-coding RNA (ACOM_LNC003354)". The record is from RNAcentral. Lineage: Eukaryota; Viridiplantae; Streptophyta; Magnoliopsida; Poales; Bromeliaceae.